UGAUGGUGCUGUGUCUACACAAAAAUCUCAAAAUAUGAGUAAAAAAUUUAUGACCGACAGUGAAGAAGAGGAUGCGGAUUUUUCCGCCAGUGAAGAUGAAUGGCUACCGGAAAAUGACAAACCCGGACGCGGUUCAAAGACGGCUUUGGGGAAAGGAUCAUCUUCCGGUGCGUCCGAAUCAGAUGAUGGUGAAAGCGACGAAGGUGGCGAACCGAAGGGUGGUGGAAGACGCUCCCAAGCGCAAAAGGGGCAGGCGACAGAUGCCAGGAAAUCACGCGCUCCACCAAAACCGAAACUAUCAACAUCGGAGCGUAAGAAAUUGUACGAAAAGUAUCGCCCCUCAGCUGGC
Molecule: long non-coding RNA, 349 nt
Organism: Ochlerotatus camptorhynchus
Lineage: Eukaryota; Metazoa; Arthropoda; Insecta; Diptera; Culicidae
Exons: 3
Source: RefSeq, a predicted model, not a curated record